This 77-nucleotide transfer RNA is filed under the name Succinivibrio sp. RNAcentral describes it as "tRNA-Val". It matches the Rfam family "tRNA". Rfam says of the family: Transfer RNA (tRNA) molecules are approximately 80 nucleotides in length. Lineage: Bacteria; Pseudomonadati; Pseudomonadota; Gammaproteobacteria; Aeromonadales; Succinivibrionaceae. RNAcentral also lists the same sequence under 2 other names. The record is from RNAcentral.
GCGCCCAUAGCUCAGUUGGUUAGAGCAUUACCUUCACACGGUAGGGGUCAUUGAUUCGAGUUCAAUUGGGCGCACCA